Dromaius novaehollandiae (emu) is the source of this 4631-nucleotide long non-coding RNA. RefSeq lists it as uncharacterized. NCBI's taxonomy places the organism in Eukaryota, Metazoa, Chordata, Aves, Casuariiformes, Dromaiidae. The record is from RefSeq and is a predicted model, not a curated record. The transcript is spliced from 3 exons.
CACACCUAUAGGAUGGAAGACACACCUGUCGGCAGAAACUGCAACAGAAAAGAUAAGGGAGAAAAGAAACAGCCUGCCUAGGAACAACGAUGAGAUCCAAUAAGGAGCAGGAGACCCCAGACUCAAAAAUUACUAUUGGUCUGAACUACCACGUGGGGGGGUGGGAAACUUAAUUUGAAAAAGCUAUAAUUGCCCAGGGAUCUCUUUGUUCAGGGUCCCUCUUUGGAGGUACCCAACUCGAGCUGUAACCACUGCACGCAUGUCAUUCCGAGCUAACCUAGGGUCGGACCCAACUCGAGUUGUAAUUACUGCACGCGCACCACCAAAACUUACACCCAGGGUGAAGAGGAGCCACCUACCACCAGACGGGAGCCCCCCCACUGCCAAGACUCCCAAAGGAAGAGGACCAACAGGACGCCGCUGGAUCCACGGGUUUUCAACUGUUCCUUGUUCCUGGCAGUCAAGUCCUGGCUAAAGUGCUAACUAUGCAGUUACAGAAGAUCUGAAUGGAGAACCUGAUCUCAGCUGGUUUCUUUAAACUAGAAUUCCUCAGGAGGCACCAAAUGUAUCAUAUUAGUCACCAUAAUAAAAAUGAAAAAAUCUGGCAGCACCAUAAUUCUCCCAGGUGCCUUGGGGAGCAGAAGAUCAGAAUGCAGGAGAGAGUCCAAAACACAUCGUUUUAUUUUUAAGACCCUGAGAAGUUUAAGCCAGUAUCUUUUUUAUUAUUAAUAUUUUGGCCUCAGACUUUUUUAACCUUUCUGAAUAAGCCAUGGAGAGAAAGAAAAGUUCUUGCUUGACCCCAGCCUUCUCCUGCUCCACAGGCACUCAAACAGCACAGGAAAGGGACUGAGAAGGCCCUGCCAUUGCAGUUCCUGAGCCAGCUGCAAGCCAGAGCCACAGCUGCAGCUUCCUGUCUGCCCGGCAGGUUGCUGGAGGAACAUCUCGAGGUGGAUGGCUCCCACCCAUGGUUUCUGCAGACCACAGAUCUCAGCAGCUAUGCGACUGACUCCUGGAGACAACCUAGCUACUCACAAAGCACAGCCUCUGUAACAGCCUCAGACUCUUUCCCUUUCUUACUGCUCAAGCCUGCAAGGGAAAACAAUGUAUAAAUAACAUAUGAAACUCUGGAGACUGAAAACUAGGAGGUGAUCUCCUCCAAACCUCUUUUAUAAUUAUGAUUUUGGCUGCUUGGGAACCACUUAUUUAGCAUUGCACUGCUGCUUUUAUUGCUAGCACGGACAACUGAUGUAUUUGCAUUCCACAUCUCAAUCACGUUAAACUGUAUGUGUCUCAAUCACAAAAAACUAUAUGUAAGAGAACAACGUAUGGUUCUCAACAGUGAGCAAUCCAUGUGGGAACCUCUCAACAGUGAGCAAUCCAUUUGGGAACCUCUUUGUAAAUGCUUGCUUCAGAAAUAGGGUAUUUUGUGAUAUUCAGCUGCUACUGUUAGGUUAAAUAAAUUAGAACUACUUGUAACCAACAAACUCACCUUACAGUGAUGUGCGUCCAAAUGUUUGCUAUCAAAGUGCUUGAGAUAGGAUGUUAGGAGACUUUAAAAAAUUAUUGUUUUUAGUUAAAAAUAGCAAUGGAAAACACACUGCUCAUUUAUAAUAGGAUAUACUGUAACAGAUAGCUUUCAGCAGGAUAAGAGCAUAGCAAACAAAGAGCAGCAGCAGAGGCAAGUAAAAAGGAAAAGAACCUUGAAACUCUACUGAUUAAGAUGCUAAAGUAGUUUCCAGUGUUUAUUACAAAAAAGUUAAUUAAAGAGUUUACAUUUUAUCAUGCACAGUAAAGAACUCCUGACAGGCAUUAUUAUAAUAUGAAAUGCUUCAGUCUCCAGUAGAGUUUAAUUUAGAGCAACAACAAAGAAUGGAAAAAGAAGAAAUAAAAAAAUGAAAUGUUGCAAGCAGACUGGCUUAAGCUCAGGGGAGGCCUUUCAGAGAACUGUUUGGUAGAAACAAUGCAAACUGAGCUACUACCCUGGGAAUAAUAUUUUUCCUGAAAUUGUUUCGGGUUGAAGUGUUUAUAGGAGGCAGUACAUAGGUUGUGUAAACCUCUGGCUAAAAGAUUGGAGAAGUAGAGCUUUUCAUCAAAGGCUAAUCACACUGAUUAUGCAAGAAGAUCCACAGAUGUUAGUGUAAACCAUUCACCAGAGAAUUAGUGAUUCCUGCAUCAUUACUGAUCAGAUCAACAGAUGUCCAUGCUGUCACCAGUUGCUAACAUUAACUUGCUAAUAAAUAGCAUCAUGUUUACUACACAUAUUUAACCAAGAAAAAAUUUGACAUCUUUUGUGAAUGCAUUAAUUUCUUCCAAACAUAUUUUUGGCCUGAGAAUGCCCUGGAAACUGUAUUGAUUUCAUUCUUGCCCAGUCACUUGGCAAUGAAUAAUGACAGAUUAUGCAUAUCAGUUCUUUUAAAUCUGUCAACCAUUGUUUAUUUACUUUAACAACAAUGUUUUGCUGGCAGCUCUGUAGACUUCUGUUUGUGGAGAUGAUACUAGUUUUGGCUAGUGCUUUCUUCUGCAGGAUAUUUGAGAGGAUGACUUUUGUUUGUCAUUAGCAGGCCCUGGGAUCUUCAUAUUUUAUUUCUCCAGCAGUCAGAUGUAUAAACUGUUACAGAGGACAAAGAAUUGAAAGGAGCUAUAGGACACAGAAUGCACAAAAGACAUACUGCUCCAUCUAAUUUGCUGUCAUUGAUAUGGCUGCAUGAUUUGUUUUCCUGACGUUUGACUUGAUGCCAGAAUUAGAAGAGACUGAUGCGACAGAGAACCAAUUCAGAUAAGGUAGCAGCAUGAGGAAGGACCACAGACACCUAAUAGCAACGUUUCUUGCCACAUCGGUUGAAUAGGGAUUUCCCAUUCUUUGUUCAGCAUAUAAUUUGGAGAGUUCAGGGGCACUGGACUCCUGCUGGAAUCUCCUGUAGCCCAGGUAGUCCAAAGAUAUGUGGUCAUAGCUAUAGGAUAUAUGGCCACAGGUAUAUCAUUUCGUCAUAUCAUUUAUUGUUUCUUUUGGAUUUUACAUUUUGAAUUAAUAGAAAUGAAUCAUUUUGAUAACACCACAAGAAAGCUUUCACACUCUAGUACUCAUUGGAUUUACAAAAAAGUUUGCUUAUUUAAAUGGGAAUGAAAAUACCAUCAUUUUUACAAGGUAGAUUUUCUUCUGUCUCUGAAGCUGCUUGCUUCAUGUGUCAUGAUUAAGAAGAAAUUUGUUUUCAGAAAUAUUUUCAGUGAUCUUUGCCAACAAAAGCUUUCUAUCCCCUUUUCUGAAGUGCAACAUACUGAACUGGAUGGACCAUUUGUCUACAGCGGAAUACAAGAAUCAGAGUGAAUCUUGUACGUUGUAGAUCGAAUUAUCAAAAUGUACACUAAGACUGCUCGGAACAGCUGGGCUGUCAUGUGGCUGUCACAGGAAAUACCAUACUGUACCAGAUCUCUGGAAAUUGCUUUUUGGUUUUCCAGACACAAUUCACAGUUUGGGUUUUUCAUCUAUAAAGUCGCCAGGUCAUCUUAUAGACCAUCUUCUUCUUUCCCUGCCUUCCUGAUAUACUGUAGCACCACUGGGACACUUAUGCUGAUAGAGCCUCUGUUGAAAUAUCUAUUGAAUGUAGAACAAAACUUUUAAUAAAAUGAAUUUGAUCCAUUGAAGCUCAAGGCAGUACACAUUCACAGCAUGGUGCAAGGCCACUUUGUGCCCUCAGUGUCUUAAAUGAAUUACAUUUGAGAUUCUCAAAUCUUUUGAGAUUCUUAUCAAAAAUCUUCUUUUUUUUUUUUUUGAAAACUAAAUGCUCUCCUUAGAGCAAACACAUUUAUAUUGUCCACUAUGCACCAGCAAUACCAUCAGCAAUGAUAUAUGACAUUGUACAUAAGCAACGCCAGAGCUGAAUUGCUCCACUGUCUUUUUUUCCCACAGUCAGUUUUCAUACUCCCUUUUUAUUAUGGAAUGCCAGCUCUGGUGUGCUACUUAGAGCCCAAGCCCAAACCCAUUAGAAUCAGCAGAAAGAAUUGCAGUUCAUUACAAGAUACUCUUGACAAAGGUGUAAUCAUUUCUCUUGAAAGUUUGCCUUCUGCUUGGUGACUGAAGUACAUAAAUAACAAUUUUUUAUUGAUUUAUUACUGUAUUAUCCUAAGCUUACAUAUGAGGAAAGUUAUUAAUGAAGGUCAUUCCUUGCUUUUUGUAUUGUUGUUGCAAAGAGUCAGCAGGUUAACAGCAAAGGAGCUUUAUAACCUAUAAUAUACACUACACUGGCUGUGGAGGAUGGAAGGAGACAUUGCCUGGGAUAUAGCAUAUGGAUUUGUAUGCUGAUGUUAAAUAUCCACAGGUACACACUACUUAGCAGCAGAGAACAGUGGCAGUUGUUGGUGCUAGACCAUAGCUGGGAAUGACAGUAUUUUGUCUCCAGCAAAGGCUAUGACUAGAGGGGUAUCUGCUUGGCAACUUUUGAGAAGGCUUCUUGUUGAUUUUAGUGUGUUUUUUUUUUUCUAAUUUAUAAUACUGGAUUACAAUUAUAAAAUAAUAAUAAUAAUCAAGUCUACUGUAGCUUUUUAACUGAUUUCUGCAAUAGAUCCAAACAAUUUGUUUUCAGCUUUUGCUACAUCGGCAAUAAAAACAUAACUAUUACCAACUGCAAAGAGGA